Molecule: small RNA, 119 nt
Filed under: bovine gut metagenome
Description: HNH endonuclease-associated RNA and ORF (HEARO) RNA
Rfam family: HNH endonuclease-associated RNA and ORF (HEARO) RNA
Source: RNAcentral
GUCAACUACCCGCGACUAAAGUCGUAGGCUUGUAGAGCUACAAGUCUGGUUGAUUAGCCUGAGUGCCUCGUGCACUACGUUACCGUGAGCUGCGUCCGGAUGCUCCACAAGUCCGGACC